ACCCAGGAGGGGUCUGUGUCAUGUGUUUCUCGUGGCCCCGCCAACCCAGGAAGAGUGGUCGUUAAGAGCAUGUUGGAUUCUGUGGGACUCGGAAGAGGUGCCUGAACUUCCCUGUGCUUUUGAAGUCAAGGGACUCCUCCCAGUGAUUAGGAGCAGUGGAACCGUCCGGAUCCUGCCCUUGGUCCAUGCCUUUGGCCUUUGGUCAUGUAGUGGCGGCCCUUUGGGCUCUGCCAUUUGUGUUUCAGAUCAUCAGUUCUGCUAUGUGAAUGGGCAGGACUCUCCAUCGCCUUGGCAAGACAAGGUGCUCCUCGUCCAGGAAGUGUUAGGAGUCCUAGGAGCCAGUUCCUCCCAUGGGAUGUGGGCUCCGGAUGGAGGACAGAGUCUCUUCAGGGCCCUCCUGGGCUACUGAAAUGGUCCAAGAAAACCCUUCAAGUUGACUUCCCUUCUCUAAUAUUCAAUUUUCUUGUCCAUCCAGUGGAAGAGUUGGAGUUGAUACUUGAUCCAUUUCAGCUCUAACUUACUAAAGUCUGUGAUGGCUCUGGACCUUCACGUUUCAGGACCAGGCCUGGUCCUUCUCAGCUCUCACACUGAAGCCUCAGAACCAGCCUCACUUGGAGGGUGGUCUUCAGCUCCCAGCCAAAAGCCUCGCUUGAACCUCCUCACACUUCAAAGACAAGGAUGGUACCCGCAUGCCACUCAGCCCUUGGAAGGGAGAAACAGUUUGGCAAAGGCCACAGAAUGGACCUCGUCUCCUUACACCGAGCCCAGGGCUCCAUUCAGCAGCCACCUUUCCACCCCCACCCCCAUCUCCUCCCCUCACCCCGAUAUGCAUCUACAUGGCUGCAAACAAGAGCAGCCAAGUGUAGGACCUCCACCCACUGCCAUCAGCAGACACUCAAGUGGACAGGCUGGACUGGAGAACAAGAACAAGAAAGAGAGUUCAGAAGAAGGUCACCAGAGGCUUGAAACAGAUUGACCAAACUUGACAGUGGGACAACGACUCAUAAAAGGGUGUUGUGAAGCCAGAUCAACUCAAUGACCCCCAAAGAAACUGCGGACUUCAAGAAACUUGCGUGACUUCAGCUUCAGAAAUACUCUUCCAUGGUGUAGAAAACACACCGCCCCCAAUACCCUGCCCACAGUGGGAUUCCUUAUUCUGUCCUUCUCGUGCCAGAAGAACGACCUCCAGUGCUUCUACCCUUUAAACACUUUUGCCAGAAACCCGAAUUCAUGAAAAGCGUGUUUAUCGCUUCACAGUUUUACGCAUUUUGUUAAAUGUGAAAGUCAGAACAAAGCAUCAAAAUACGUCUAUAGAGCUCCUGUCGUGGCUCAGGGGUUAAUGAAUCCACCUAGGAACCAUGAGGUUGCAGGUUCGAUCCCUGGCCUCGCUCAGUGGGUUAAGGAUCCAGUGUUGCCGUGAACUGUGGUGUAGGUCCCAGAUGUGGCUCGGAUCUGGCGUUGCUGUGGCUCUGAUGUAGACUGGUGGCUACAGCUCCGAUUCAACCCCUAGCUGGGGAACCUCCAUAUGUCACAGGUGCUGCUGCCCUAGAAAGACAAAAAAAAAAAAAAAAAGUGUAUAACAUUAAUGAAUACUUUUGUACUAUUAGCCCUCACCUUGAAACAUCGUUAGAAAUUUUCGUCUUUGUUUUUAACCAGAAAGAAGAGCUGAGAGAUUCUGUUUGGGUUCUGAUUACUGUUCAUCACAAAUGUGAUAAUGAGGAUGACCUCCGUUAAGAUGGGUCUCAUCUGACUGAUGGGUGAGGGAUGUUGAGAGGAGGCUGGACCUGGAGCAGAAGGUGGGGGGUGGGGAGAAGGGCAUGAGAUGCUGCGAGCCAGCCACAUCGCAUGGCUACUCAACCAGCCCCUCUGCCUCCCAACAGCUGGAGUUAAUAUUUAAUGAAGAUUUUUAUAUGAUAACAUGUAAAUUCAGAGUUGCAAAAUUUUCUUUAACCCUGAAUUAGAAUAUGCUACUGGUA
RNAcentral lists this long non-coding RNA (1976 nucleotides) under Sus scrofa (pig). RNAcentral describes it as "lncRNA (ENSSSCG00030026065.1)". Lineage: Eukaryota; Metazoa; Chordata; Mammalia; Artiodactyla; Suidae. The record is from RNAcentral.